GUGGGCACCACAGGCGCCGUCCAUUCUGUUACGCUUGUACCCAGCUGGGGAAGAGCCUGCCAUAAUCCUACUGCAUCCAGCUUGGGGUAGAUGCCUCUGUACCAACACAGUUCAUAAAACGCACCAGUGAAUAGAUCUGCAUGCAAGAAAGGGUGCGGAAGGCCUCAGGCAGCCCCGCCUAUCCCCUCAGUAGCUGCGCACAAGGCUCCCUCGCAGACGUGACAGGGUCUCAGUGCCUCUCCAGCCCUUUAGGGAAUGCCCUCCGGGGUGGAACAUCCCCAGGGCCCCGGAGAAUGGAACGAGAAGUUCAUCACUUCAGAAUCACUGCACGUCAUGCACAGAAACUGAGCUGUGCAGCCAUCAGCACAAUCAACGUUUGCACCGGCGUGGCCUUGACCAGAACCCUCCACCUGGCCGCAGCCGCCGCUGACAGACUCCUCUCUCCAGCCUUGCUCGUUCUGCGCAUGUCCUGUAAUGGAGCCACGCCCUCCCUCGUGUCCCGGGUCUGGGUGUUGUCACUGAGCACAGUGCUGUCAAGGCUCGUCUGUGUGAACCUGUGCUCGGUUCCUGUUGCCGGCCUCACAGUACUCCACAGUACAGAUGGACCUCAUUUCACUUAGUCACUCACCUGGUGGUGGUUAUCUCUUUAACAGGUUUGUGGCUCCCCCUCCCCACAAGAAAGCAAAAACAAAACCAAAAAAAAAAAAAAAAAACAACCAACCCAACCUUAUAGUUCUGGAAUUACUCCUCAUUGUAUUAGCUGUUCAAAAAUAAAAUCAUUGUUCCAUCUGUGUGUGAA
Long non-coding RNA from Chinchilla lanigera (long-tailed chinchilla), 799 nucleotides. RefSeq lists it as uncharacterized. The transcript is spliced from 2 exons. Lineage: Eukaryota; Metazoa; Chordata; Mammalia; Rodentia; Chinchillidae. The record is from RefSeq and is a predicted model, not a curated record.